CGGGGGGCAGCAAUUAGGAAUCUUGCACAAUGGGGGAAACCCUGAUGCAGCGACGCCGCGUGAAGGAUGAAGGCCCUUGGGUUGUAAACUUCUUUUUUAGGGGAAGAAUAAUGACGGUACCCUAAGAAUAAGCCCCGGCUAACUACGUGCCAGCAGCCGCGGUAAUACGUAGGGGGCGAGCGUUGUCCGAAGUUACUGGGCGUAAAGCGCGCGUAGGCGGCUUUUUAAGUCUGAGGUGAAAGGUUCAGCGCUCAACGUGAACAUUGCCUUGGAUACUGGGAAGCUUGAGUGUGGGAGGGGGCAGUGGAAUUCCUGGUGUAGCGGUGAAAUGCAUAGAUAUCAGGAGGAACACCGAUGGCGAAGGCAGCUGCCUGGCCUAACACUGACGCUGAGGUGCGAAAGCGUGGGGAGCGAACGGGAUUAGAUACCCGAGU
This 434-nucleotide ribosomal RNA is filed under the name uncultured Armatimonadaceae bacterium. Its description in RNAcentral is "bacterial SSU rRNA". It matches the Rfam family "Bacterial small subunit ribosomal RNA", at positions 342 to 791 of the family's 1533-position model. Lineage: Bacteria; Bacillati; Armatimonadota; Armatimonadia; Armatimonadales; Armatimonadaceae. The record is from RNAcentral.